This 338-nucleotide unclassified non-coding RNA is filed under the name soil metagenome. RNAcentral's name for it is "partial contains 5.8S ribosomal RNA, internal transcribed spacer 2, and large subunit ribosomal RNA". The stretch from base 1 to 120 matches the Rfam family "5.8S ribosomal RNA", at positions 35 to 154 of the family's 154-position model. The record is from RNAcentral.
GAUGAAGAACGUAGCAAAAUGCGAUAAGUAAUGCGAAUUGCAGAAUUCCGUGAGUCAUCGAAUCUUUGAACGCACAUUGCGCCCUUUGGCAUUCCGAAGGGCAUGCCUGUUCGAGCGUCAUUUAUCAACCCUCAAGCCCGGCUUGCGGUUGGGUCCCGCCGUGGGCGACCACGGCGGACCCGAAAGGUAAUGGCGGUGCCCGUGGGGCCCUGGACGCAGCGAGCUUCUCGGCACGCGUCCCGGCGGUCCCCGGCGCCGUCUCCACCAAUCCACCACGCAGAUUGACCUCGGAUCAGGUAGGGAUACCCGCUGAACUUAAGCAUAUCAAUAGCGGAGGA